AAGAAAGUAAAUAAGAGCACACAGGGGAUGCCUUGGCUCUCAGAGGCGAUGAAGGACGUGAUAAGCUGCGAUAAGCACUGGGGAUUAGCAAAUAUGAAUUGAUCCGGUGAUUUCCGAAUGGGGCAACCUGGCUAGUUGAAGACUAGUCGUAUAAUACGCAAACCUGCCGAACUGAAACAUCUAAGUAAGCAGAGGAAGAGAAAAUAAUAAUGAUUUCCUAAGUAGUGGCGAGCGAACGGGAAAGAGCCCAAACCAGUUAUGUUACGGCAUAUCUGGGGUUGUAGGACUACGAUAUGAUUAUAAUGCAAUGAAGUGGAACAGGAUGGGAAGCCUGGCAAUAUAGAGUGAGAGCCUCGUACACGUAAGUACCAUUAGUCUAGUAGUAUCCUGAGUACCGCG
RNAcentral lists this ribosomal RNA (399 nucleotides) under Bacillus toyonensis. RNAcentral describes it as "bacterial LSU rRNA". It matches the Rfam family "Bacterial large subunit ribosomal RNA", at positions 1 to 419 of the family's 2925-position model. The record is from RNAcentral. Lineage: Bacteria; Bacillati; Bacillota; Bacilli; Caryophanales; Bacillaceae.